This is a non-coding RNA of Rattus norvegicus (Norway rat), 576 nucleotides long. The record is from RefSeq and is a predicted model, not a curated record. NCBI's taxonomy places the organism in Eukaryota, Metazoa, Chordata, Mammalia, Rodentia, Muridae.
UCUGCCUCCAUACAAAGCCAUGGGACAGCAACUAAAGGACUAAAGGGUCUAAGACUGAGUAAAAUCAGCCUUUGUUCCUUGAGGCCAUUUUGUCACAUGGACAGGAAGCUGAGUAACACAGCGCCCUAGGCCCGGGAUGAAUUUAGUAGGAACAAAAUAUAUUAACAGCAACCCGGUAGCCAUUCCUCAUAGGAUAUCCAUGUAAGUUCUGCAGAAGGAUUCAUGGUGGACCUCCUGAUGGUUGCAGGCCUGUCAUCCCAGCUACUGAGGAGAUGAAGGGAAGAGGAUUAAAGCGGAUAGCCAUUCUAGGCAAUUUAGUGAAACACCAUGACAAGAAUACAAGAACCCAGGACCACCAUCCAGGACUGGCACCACCCACAGUGGACUGGACCCUCUCCCAGCAGUCAUUAAUCAAGAAAAUGCCCCCACAGAAUUGUCUACAGGCCAUUAUGAUGAAGGCAGUUCCUCAGUUGAGAGUCCCUCUUCCCAGAUAUAAUCUAGGUUUGUCUCUAAUUGACAGAAAACAAGGAGUACAUCUGCUGAUAACGAUCCAAGCCACAGUGCUUGAGGACUAGU